RNAcentral lists this ribosomal RNA (222 nucleotides) under uncultured prokaryote. RNAcentral describes it as "partial 16S ribosomal RNA". It matches the Rfam family "Bacterial small subunit ribosomal RNA", at positions 525 to 746 of the family's 1533-position model. The record is from RNAcentral.
ACGUAGGGUGCAAGCGUUAAUCGGAAUUACUGGGCGUAAAGCGUGCGCAGGCGGUUUUGUAAGACAGAGGUGAAAUCCCCGGGCUCAACCUGGGAACUGCCUUUGUGACUGCAAGGCUGGAGUGCGGCAGAGGGGGAUGGAAUUCCGCGUGUAGCAGUGAAAUGCGUAGAUAUGCGGAGGAACACCGAUGGCGAAGGCGGCCUUCUGGACAGUGACUGACGC